Molecule: long non-coding RNA, 1647 nt
Organism: Anopheles coustani
Lineage: Eukaryota; Metazoa; Arthropoda; Insecta; Diptera; Culicidae
Exons: 6
Source: RefSeq, a predicted model, not a curated record
AACAAUCGGUUGCUACCCGGAUUUACAGAGCGGUUUCUUUUUGGUAAUUCUGUUGUACAGUAGGCAGUGAGAAAGUUUUCUUGGAUAUGAACUAGUUGAAAAAGCAAAAAUAUGGAAUCAAUCGCAUUCGUGAGAGGAAUAGGAGGUAUUAUUUGAGUUUGUGUGAUUAAUACGAUAUUUUAAUGUUCACGUAUGCCAUUGCCCUGAUCAUAACCUCGUCAUUGGAUAUCGCGAUCAUGAGGAAAAAGGAAUGAAAUCUUCACCUGAAACAGUGAUACAAUAAUUUUGCAAGAGUAACAAUUGGAAUAACUAGAAACAACAAAAAUGGAAUGGAACUGAUGGAAUGUGUACGGAUUGGUGCCCGCAUAUGAAUCGCUAACCAAAAUGUCUGAGAUUUUAUAAGUAUUGUGCUCGGACUUUAUGAAAUCAUGAAGUUUAUGGAUCUAACACGUUACAUUACAUUUGAUCUGUUCGCCACAUAACCUCACUGAUUGCAUCAUGAGUAUGGAAUUAUCGGCAUUUAUAGGAUUUAAAAUACGCAUUGUUUGCGUAUAUGUGUUAUUUAUCCAAUAAUUUCAUCCGCAACCAUGCUGUUGAGAUCAUAACUUUGCUAAUGAAUAUCGGAACGAUAUCAUGAAUGUGCCGAUAACAACAAUCAGCGGAACACUGCUGGCAAGCCAUGCAGGGGUUGGACAUCGCAAACCCCAUUUGGGAGAACGUAUCCAUGCAGGACAUGUUUCAAAUAGCAAGCAACGAUAGAUUGUGUUGACAAGUGAACAGUUAAUUUGGCUAAGAAUAGCUUUAAGCUGGAAAGGAGCUAGAAGCAUUUGAUCGUAUUUGAAUAAUUUUUGUUGGUAAAAUGUAAUUUGAAUCAUCUGCUUGUUUGAGUCGCAGUAACAUUAACUUAAUUAUUUGCGAAUCGAUGAGUGGAGUGAUUGGUUGAGGUUCUUUUUCUUGUUGUAAUAACCCCGUUAAGGGCUUACAAGGCUUUUCCCUUUGUGUAAGUUGAUAGCCAGUCCUCUCCAACAGGGGUCCGGUAUCGGUUGGAUUCGAACGCACGCCGUCGAGUGUGUCGCGUAUUGUCUAGCUAUACCAUGCUCAAGUGCCGGUUCUUUUACGCACCAGAAUCACUCUCUAUAAGAUAUGAAAUAAGUGUUUCAGCGAACAGUACACAGUUUUUUCAACAGCUGUUUUGAACCGUAUUCCGUAAUUGAACAAUAUAAAUAUGUAUUGCGUUCGAAAGAGAUGUCUUCGAAGUGCUGCGCGGUAAGCAAAUAUUUUACAUAACUCACCUAUCAAAAUGGCGAUUUAUUAUUUUUAAACGGGCAAUGUGAAUUGAUUUUUCUGCGAUGAAUUUUGUUUGAUUUGGUUUGUUGCAACUUGGUGUAAAUAUUAACACGUUGACUGCCAUGGCUAUCAUUUUUGAUAGCCAGUGAUAUUUCCGGGAGGGCCAUAGCUAUCAUUUUCGAUAGCCACCUAUCAUGAUUGUUGAAGUAUUAAACCUUUGAAAUGAAAAAUUUUACUUACAAAUCCUUCGAUACUUACAAAGUUACAUCUCCUUAGCUCUCUCUUUCAAUUAAGCUUUACAUAAUUUGUGGUUGGUUUUAAAAUAACUGUAGUGUGCAAAAAUUUUAGAACCAUUUUUAG